Gymnothorax javanicus (giant moray) is the source of this 72-nucleotide non-coding RNA. The record is from the annotation of a GenBank genome assembly. Lineage: Eukaryota; Metazoa; Chordata; Actinopteri; Anguilliformes; Muraenidae.
GGCUGCGUAGUCUAGUGGUAGGUUGCCUGACUGCUAACUGAAGAGUUCCUGGUUCAAGCCCUGGUGGAGUUU